This 279-nucleotide long non-coding RNA is filed under the name Canis lupus dingo (dingo). RNAcentral describes it as "lncRNA (ENSCAFG00020021461.1)". The record is from RNAcentral. Lineage: Eukaryota; Metazoa; Chordata; Mammalia; Carnivora; Canidae.
GAGCCAGCGGCGCGGUCCUGAGACCCAGCGCGGCUGCGUCCCGCCCAGGUGGGCGGGGGGCGGGGGCGGGGGCCGGGGGGAGGAGGGGAGAGUGGCGUGCCCGCCGCGGACUGGUAGGCGCGCGAGAUCUUGGCCGGGGUCGGAGCACCAUAAAGAUUUAUAUUAAAGACAUGGUUUUCACCCCUCUUCAUCAACGCACAUAAGUUUUCUCUUCUUUCUGGACCCCUAUUUUAUACCACAAUGCAACAAGCUUUAGAACUAGCUUUGGAUCGUGCUGAG